RNAcentral lists this ribosomal RNA (468 nucleotides) under uncultured bacterium. RNAcentral's name for it is "partial 16S ribosomal RNA". It matches the Rfam family "Bacterial small subunit ribosomal RNA", at positions 28 to 507 of the family's 1533-position model. The record is from RNAcentral.
GACGAACGCUGGCGGCGUGCUUAACACAUGCAAGUCGAACGGAAAGGCCCUGCUUUUGUGGGGUGCUCGAGUGGCGAACGGGUGAGUAACACGUGAGUAACCUGCCCUUGACUUUGGGAUAACUUCAGGAAACUGGGGCUAAUACCGGAUAGGAGCUCCUGCUGCAUGGUGGGGGUUGGAAAGUUUCGGCGGUUGGGGAUGGACUCGCGGCUUAUCAGCUUGUUGGUGGGGUAGUGGCUUACCAAGGCUUUGACGGGUAGCCGGCCUGAGAGGGUGACCGGCCACAUUGGGACUGAGAUACGGCCCAGACUCCUACGGGAGGCAGCAGGGGGGAAUAUUGCACAAUGGGCGGAAGCCUGAUGCAGCAACGCCGCGGGCGGGAUGACGGCCUUCGGGUUGUAAACCGCUUUCGGCUGUGACGAAGCGUGAGUGACGGUAAUGGGUAAAGAAGCACCGGCUAACUACGUG